UUGAUUCUGGCUCAGGUUGAACGCUGGCGGAUGCUUUACAUGCAAGUCGAACGGCAGCACGGACUUCGGUCUGGUGGCGAGUGGCGAACGGGUGAGUGCUAUGGACGUGCCUAAUCAGCGGGGGAUAACUUUAAAGAAAGCGUAGCUAAUACAGCACGCUGUGGGGAAGCGGGGACGCUGGGCCUCACUAUUAGAGCGGCCGAUAUCGGAUUAGCUAGUUAGUGGGGUAACGGCUCACCAAGCGUCGAUCCGUAGCUGGUUUGAAGGACGACCAGCCACACUGGGACUGAGACACGGCCCAGACUCCUAUACAGGAGGCAGCAGUGGGGAAUUUUGGACAAUGGGGGAAACCUGAUCCCAGCCAUCCCGCGUGGCCGAUGAAGGCCUUCGGGUUGUAAAGCACUUUUGGCAGGAAAGAAACGGCACAGGAUAAUGCCCCGUGCAACUGACGGCUACCUGCAGAAUGGCACCAGCUAACUACGUGCCAGCAGCCGCGGUAAUACGUGGGGUGCAAGCGUUAAUCGAAUUACUGGGCGUAAAGCGUGCGCGGGCGGUUCGGAAAGAAGAUGUGAAAUCCCAGAGCUUAACUUUGGAACUGCAUUUUUUGCUACCGAGCUAGAGUGUGUCAGAGGGAGUGGAAUUCCGCGUGUAGCAGUGAAAUGCGUAGAUAUGCGGGCACGAUAGCGAGGCAACCUCCUGGGAUAACACUGACGCUCAUGCACAGCGUGGGGGAGCAAACAGGAUUUAGAUACCCUGGUAGUCCACGCCCUAAACGAUGUCAACUAGCUGUUAGGGCCUUCGGCCUUGGUAGCGCAACUAACGCUGAAGUUGACCGCCUGGGGAGUACGGUCGCAAGAUUAAAACUCAAAAGGAAUUGACGGGGACCCGCACAAGCGGUGGAUGAUGUGGAUUAAUUCGAUACAGCAUGAAAAGGCACCACCUACACAUUUUAUGUGGAAUCCCGAAGAGAUUUGGGAGUGCUCGCAAGAGGAGAACCGGAACACAGGUGCUGCAUGGCUGUCGUGGCUCGUGUCGUGAGAUGUUGGGUUAAGUCCGCAACAGGCGCAACCCUUGUCAUUAGUUGCUACGAAAGGGCACUCUAAUGAGACUGCCGGUGACAAACCGGAGAGAGGUGAGAUGACGUCGUCCUCAUGGCUGUACUAUAGGUGGGCCCACACGUCAAUGUGGUCAGGACAGAGGGGUCGCCAACCCGCGAGGGGUCAAUCCCAGAAACCCGAUCGUAGUCCGGAUCGCAGUCUGCAACUCGACUGCGUGAAGUCGGAAUCGCUGUGUGCGGAUCAGCAUGUCGCGGUGAAUACGUUCCCGGGUCUUGUACACACCGCCCGUCACCAUGGGAGUGGGUUUUACCAGAAGUAGUUAGCUAACACGUGGGAGGGCGAUUACCACGGUAGGAUUCAUGACUGGGUGAGUCGUAACAAGGUAA
Molecule: ribosomal RNA, 1444 nt
Filed under: uncultured Bordetella sp.
Lineage: Bacteria; Pseudomonadati; Pseudomonadota; Betaproteobacteria; Burkholderiales; Alcaligenaceae
Description: partial 16S-23S ribosomal RNA intergenic spacer
Rfam family: Bacterial small subunit ribosomal RNA
Source: RNAcentral